UAGAAGAGAGAUAAAACAACCAGCGACAGCAGUAUUAAUGGUCAGGUCAGCGCAACGUACCUAGAAAUGUGUGUUUUAAUGUUUCCUAACUGUGCUUCUCUUUAAAGGUGUUACAAGAUUCGGAAAACAGUCAUGCACUCCACAUGUGUCAAGGAUGAGAUUGGAUGGAGAAGGAAGACAAAACUCACACCUCAUGAGAAGAUAUAGAGCUAUUUUGAAGAGCUUCUUUUACAAAUGCUUCUCUUGAGACCCAGUCUCUCACUUAGAGCAGAUCUCUGGUCUGAGCCAUCCUUCUCUGUGAACAGGUAAGUUCUGAUGCUUUUAUUUCCUUUUAAUCUAAUGGACAGGUUUCUAGCUUGUAUUUAAUUAACAUAUUUUCCUCUCGUGCUGGCAAUCUUGAAAAAGAACAAAAGGCUUUUGAAAGCAAACUCAU
This is a long non-coding RNA of Apteryx owenii (little spotted kiwi), 433 nucleotides long. The record is from Ensembl. Lineage: Eukaryota; Metazoa; Chordata; Aves; Apterygiformes; Apterygidae.